RNAcentral lists this ribosomal RNA (468 nucleotides) under uncultured bacterium. RNAcentral's name for it is "partial 16S ribosomal RNA". It matches the Rfam family "Bacterial small subunit ribosomal RNA", at positions 28 to 507 of the family's 1533-position model. The record is from RNAcentral.
GACGAACGCUGGCGGCGUGCUUAACACAUGCAAGUCGAACGGAAAGGCCCUGCUUUUGUGGGGUGCUCGAGUGGCGAACGGGUGAGUAACACGUGAGUAACCUGCCCUUGACUUUGGGAUAACUUCAGGAAACUGGGGCUAAUACCGGAUAGGAGCUCCUGUUGCAUGGUGGGGGUUGGAAAGUUUCGGCGGUUGGGGAUGGACGCGCGGCUUAUCAGCUUGUUGGUGGGGUAGUGGCUUACCAAGGCUUUGACGGGUAGCCGGCCUGAGAGGGUGACCGGCCACAUUGGGACUGAGAUACGGCCCAGACUCCUACGGGAGGCAGCAGUGGGGAAUAUUGCACAUUGGUCGGAAGCCUGAUGCAGCAACGCCGCGUGCGGGAUGACGGCCUUCGGGUUGUAAACCGCUUUCGCCUGUGACGAAGCGGGAGUGACGGUAAUGGGUAAAGAAGCACCGGCUAACUACGUG